RNAcentral lists this ribosomal RNA (473 nucleotides) under uncultured bacterium 5752COM. Its description in RNAcentral is "bacterial SSU rRNA". It matches the Rfam family "Bacterial small subunit ribosomal RNA", at positions 900 to 1373 of the family's 1533-position model. The record is from RNAcentral.
UUCAAAUGAAUUGACGGGGGCCCGCACAAGCGGUGGAGCAUGUGGUUUAAUUCGAUGCAACGCGAAGAACCUUACCUACUCUUGACAUCCAGAGAACUUGGCAGAGAUGCCUUGGUGCCUUCGGGAACUCUGAGACAGGUGCUGCAUGGCUGUCGUCAGCUCGUGUUGUGAAAUGUUGGGUUAAGUCCCGCAACGAGCGCAACCCUUAUCCUUUGUUGCCAGCGGUUAGGCCGGGAACUCAAAGGAGACUGCCAGUGAUAAACUGGAGGAAGGUGGGGAUGACGUCAAGUCAUCAUGGCCCUUACGAGUAGGGCUACACACGUGCUACAAUGGCGCAUACAAAGAGAAGCGACCUCGCGAGAGCAAGCGGACCUCAUAAAGUGCGUCGUAGUCCGGAUUGGAGUCUGCAACUCGACUCCAUGAAGUCGGAAUCGCUAGUAAUCGUGGAUCAGAAUGCCACGGUGAAUACGUUC